This 459-nucleotide ribosomal RNA is filed under the name uncultured bacterium. Its description in RNAcentral is "partial 16S ribosomal RNA". It matches the Rfam family "Bacterial small subunit ribosomal RNA", at positions 338 to 795 of the family's 1533-position model. The record is from RNAcentral.
CCUACGGGAGGCAGCAGUGAGGAAUAUUGGUCAAUGGGCGGGAGCCUGAACCAGCCAAGCCGCGUGAAGGAAGAAGGCGCCAAGUGUCGUAAACUUCUUUUGCCGGGGAACAAAGGGCGCCACGUGUGGCGUUGUGAGUGUACCCGAAGAAAAAGCAUCGGUUAACUCCGUGCCAGCAGCAGAGGUAAUACGGAGGAUGCGAGCGUUAUCCGGAUGUAUUGGGUUAAAAGGGUGCGUAGGCGGUCCGGAAAGUCCGCGGUAAAAGCCCGGGGCUAAACCCCGGCGAGCCGUUGAAACUGUCGGGCUAGAGAGGGCGAGAAGUACGCGGAAUGCGCGGUGUAGCGGUGAAAUGCAUAGAUAUCGCGCAGAACUGCGAUUGCGAAGGCAGCGUACCGGAGCCGGACUGACGCUGAGGCACGAAAGCGUGGGUAUCGAACAGGAUUAGAUACCCUUGUAGUC